RNAcentral lists this ribosomal RNA (355 nucleotides) under uncultured Prevotella sp. RNAcentral describes it as "bacterial SSU rRNA". It matches the Rfam family "Bacterial small subunit ribosomal RNA", at positions 355 to 794 of the family's 1533-position model. Lineage: Bacteria; Pseudomonadati; Bacteroidota; Bacteroidia; Bacteroidales; Prevotellaceae. The record is from RNAcentral.
UGAGGAAUAUUGGUCAAUGGGCGGAAGCCUGAACCAGCCAAGUAGCGUGAGGGAUGACUGCCCUAUGGGUUGUAAACCUCUUUUAUAAGGGAAUAAAAUACGGGACGUGUCCUGUUUUGCAUGUACCUUAUGAAUAAGGACCGGCUAAUUCCGUGCCAGCAGCCGCGGUAAUACGGAAGGUCCGGGCGUUAUCCGGAUUUAUUGGGUUUAAAGGGAGCGCAGGCGGUCUUAUAAGCGUGACGUGAAAUGCAUAGAUAUGACGCAGAACUCCGAUUGCGAAGACAGCUUUCCAGCGCGCUACUGACGCUGAGGCACGAAAGCGUGGGGAUCGAACAGGAUUAGAUACCCUGGUAGU